Molecule: ribosomal RNA, 301 nt
Filed under: uncultured bacterium
Lineage: Bacteria
Description: partial 16S ribosomal RNA
Rfam family: Bacterial small subunit ribosomal RNA
Source: RNAcentral
CAGUAGCCACGGUAAUACGAAGGGUGCAAGCGUUACUCGGAAUUACUGGGCGUAAAGCGUGCGUAGGUGGUGGUUUAAGUCCGUUGUGAAAGCCCUGGGCUCAACCUGGGAAUUGCAGUGGAUACUGGGUCACUAGAGUGUGGUAGAGGAUAGUGGAAUUUCCGGUGUAGCAGUGAAAUGCGUAGAGAUCGGAAGGAACAUCUGUGGCGAAGGCGACUAUCUGGGCCAACACUGACACUGAGGCACGAAAGCGUGGGGAGCAAACAGGAUUAGAUACCCGUGUAGUCCCUGUCUCUUAUAU